AUACUGUAUUUGACCUAAAGCAUGCUUUCUCAGCCAGCCAUUGGCCAAGGUGAGCCAACUCAUAUUUGCCUUUGAGUAGACAGACCCAGAAAGGGGAUUUCCAGGACAACUGACUUGGACCAGCUUGCCACAAGAUUUAAAAAACUCCCCCACCUUAUUGGAUGAGGCCUUGAGCCAGGACCGUUUAAAUUUUAGGUGGUUACACCCUGAGACUGCUCUAUUACAACAUGUUGAUGACCUGCUGCUGGCAGCCAGGACACAUGAGGAAUGUCAGCAGGCCACAGAGGACCUUCUUGUCACCCUGUGCCAACUGGAGCAUCAAGCUCCUGUUAAAAAGGCCCAAUUGUGCACCCAGAAAGCCAACCUCUUUAGGAUACCAGCUGGAAAAAAGGGAAGCUUAUUCUCUCCUUAAGCAGGAUAGAGGCAGU
Molecule: long non-coding RNA, 428 nt
Organism: Perognathus longimembris pacificus (Pacific pocket mouse)
Lineage: Eukaryota; Metazoa; Chordata; Mammalia; Rodentia; Heteromyidae
Exons: 4
Source: RefSeq, a predicted model, not a curated record